Long non-coding RNA from Myotis davidii, 341 nucleotides. RefSeq lists it as uncharacterized. The transcript has 2 exons. NCBI's taxonomy places the organism in Eukaryota, Metazoa, Chordata, Mammalia, Chiroptera, Vespertilionidae. The record is from RefSeq and is a predicted model, not a curated record.
GCAAAGACUUCAUCUUGUUCAGUCCAAUGCUUAGCACAGAAUCUUAAUAAAAAGAAGGUGCUUGAUAAACAUUUGAUGAAAUAAUAAAUCCAUAAUGAUGACCACACAGAAAUGUUAUCUUCUGAAACAAAUUUUAAAUUGGAGUUUUUAUCAAAGAGCUAAAACCCUGAAAAACAUAGAUGGAUAUAUAUUUUGAAUUCACAAAUGUUUGCUAUUUGGUUAGAAAUAUAAAUGAGUGAAUAACCUAUGUAUAUGCAGAGUCAAGAGGUAUUUACACAAAUUAUAUAAAAAUUGGGAACCUAAACAAGCUUUUAUGAAUGCAAUAAAUUUCUGAAAACUCU